RNAcentral lists this ribosomal RNA (575 nucleotides) under uncultured archaeon. RNAcentral's name for it is "bacterial SSU rRNA". It matches the Rfam family "Archaeal small subunit ribosomal RNA", at positions 450 to 997 of the family's 1478-position model. The record is from RNAcentral.
GUUCGGUCGACGUACGUCACGGUGGGUCGACGACGACGCCGCGGGUAAAUACCCGGCGGCUCGAGUGGUGGCCACUUUAUUGGGCUUAAAGCGUUCGUAGCUGGGUUAUUAAGUCCCUUGGGAAAUCCGACAGCUUAACUGUCGGGCGUCUAAGAGAUACUGGUAAUCUUGGAACCGGGAGAGGUGAGGGGUACUUCGGGGGUAGGAGUGAAAUCCUGUAAUCCUCGAGGGACCACCUGUGGCGAAGGCGCCUCACCAGAACGGCUUCGACAGUGAGGGACGAAAGCUGGGGGAGCAAACCGGAUUAGAUACCCGGGUAGUCCCAGCCGUAAACGAUGUGCGUUAGGUGUAUCGGUGACCACGAGUCACCGAGGUGCCGAAGGGAAACCGUGAAACGUACCGCCUGGGAAGUACGGUCGCAAGGCUGAAACUUAAAGGAAUUGGCGGGGGAGCACCACAACAGGUGGAGCCUGCGGUUUUAAAUUGGACUCAACGCCGGAAAUCUCACCGGAUAAGACAGCAGAAUGAUUGCCGGGCUGAAGACUCUGCAUGACUAGCUGAGGAGUGGUGCAUGG